RNAcentral lists this ribosomal RNA (1477 nucleotides) under Bacillus subtilis. Its description in RNAcentral is "bacterial SSU rRNA". It matches the Rfam family "Bacterial small subunit ribosomal RNA". Lineage: Bacteria; Bacillati; Bacillota; Bacilli; Caryophanales; Bacillaceae. The record is from RNAcentral.
AGGACGAACGCUGGCGGCGUGCCUAAUACAUGCAAGUCGAGCGGACAGAUGGGAGCUUGCUCCCUGAUGUUAGCGGCGGACGGGUGAGUAACACGUGGGUAACCUGCCUGUAAGACUGGGAUAACUCCGGGAAACCGGGGCUAAUACCGGAUGCUUGUUUGAACCGCAUGGUUCAAACAUAAAAGGUGGCUUCGGCUACCACUUACAGAUGGACCCGCGGCGCAUUAGCUAGUUGGUGAGGUAACGGCUCACCAAGGCAACGAUGCGUAGCCGACCUGAGAGGGUGAUCGGCCACACUGGGACUGAGACACGGCCCAGACUCCUACGGGAGGCAGCAGUAGGGAAUCUUCCGCAAUGGACGAAAGUCUGACGGAGCAACGCCGCGUGAGUGAUGAAGGUUUUCGGAUCGUAAAGCUCUGUUGUUAGGGAAGAACAAGUACCGUUCGAAUAGGGCGGUACCUUGACGGUACCUAACCAGAAAGCCACGGCUAACUACGUGCCAGCAGCCGCGGUAAUACGUAGGUGGCAAGCGUUGUCCGGAAUUAUUGGGCGUAAAGGGCUCGCAGGCGGUUUCUUAAGUCUGAUGUGAAAGCCCCCGGCUCAACCGGGGAGGGUCAUUGGAAACUGGGGAACUUGAGUGCAGAAGAGGAGAGUGGAAUUCCACGUGUAGCGGUGAAAUGCGUAGAGAUGUGGAGGAACACCAGUGGCGAAGGCGACUCUCUGGUCUGUAACUGACGCUGAGGAGCGAAAGCGUGGGGAGCGAACAGGAUUAGAUACCCUGGUAGUCCACGCCGUAAACGAUGAGUGCUAAGUGUUAGGGGGUUUCCGCCCCUUAGUGCUGCAGCUAACGCAUUAAGCACUCCGCCUGGGGAGUACGGUCGCAAGACUGAAACUCAAAGGAAUUGACGGGGGCCCGCACAAGCGGUGGAGCAUGUGGUUUAAUUCGAGCACGCGAGAACCUUACCCAGGUCUUGACAUCCUCUGACAAUCCUAGAGAUAGGACGUCCCCUUCGGGGGCAGAGUGACAGGUGGUGCAUGGUUGUCGUCAGCUCGUGUCGUGAGAUGUUGGGUUAAGUCCCGCAACGAGCGCAACCCUUGAUCUUAGUUGCCAGCAUUCAGUUGGGCACUCUAAGGUGACUGCCGGUGACAAACCGGAGGAAGGUGGGGAUGACGUCAAAUCAUCAUGCCCCUUAUGACCUGGGCUACACACGUGCUACAAUGGACAGAACAAAGGGCAGCGAAACCGCGAGGUUAAGCCAAUCCCACAAAUCUGUUCUCAGUUCGGAUCGCAGUCUGCAACUCGACUGCGUGAAGCUGGAAUCGCUAGUAAUCGCGGAUCAGCAUGCCGCGGUGAAUACGUUCCCGGGCCUUGUACACACCGCCCGUCACACCACGAGAGUUUGUAACACCCGAAGUCGGUGAGGUAACCUUUUAGGAGCCAGCCGCCGAAGGUGGGACAGAUGAUUGGGGUGAAGUC